This 254-nucleotide ribosomal RNA is filed under the name uncultured bacterium. RNAcentral describes it as "partial 16S ribosomal RNA". It matches the Rfam family "Bacterial small subunit ribosomal RNA", at positions 524 to 776 of the family's 1533-position model. The record is from RNAcentral.
UACGUAGGGGGCUAGCGUUGUCCGGAUUUAUUGGGCGUAAAGAGCGUGUAGGCGGCCAUACAGGUCCGUUGUGAAACUGGAGGCUUAACCUCCAGACGUCGAUGGAAACCGUAUGGCUAGAGUCCGGAAGAGGCGAGUGGAAUUCCUGGAUGUAGCGGUGAAAUGACGCAGAUAUCAGGAGGAACACCUAUUGCGAAGGCAGCUCGCUGGGACGUAACUGACGCUGAGACGCGAAAGCGUGGGGAGCAAACAGG